Molecule: ribosomal RNA, 80 nt
Filed under: Salmonella enterica
Lineage: Bacteria; Pseudomonadati; Pseudomonadota; Gammaproteobacteria; Enterobacterales; Enterobacteriaceae
Description: partial 16S ribosomal RNA
Rfam family: Bacterial small subunit ribosomal RNA
Source: RNAcentral
AAAUUGAAGAGUUUGAUCAUGGCUCAGAUUGAACGCUGGCGGCAGGCCUAACACAUGCAAGUCGAACGGUGUCGAACGGU